AAAUCUUUGACUUUUUUUUAUUUACAGCGAUGCUGCCAUACAUACUAUUUUCUCUAGGUUAAAGGCAAAAUCUGAAGAAGUAUGACUUUUCCUCUCAAGAUUUUUAUUUGUAUCCUCCACAGUGGGCCUCGCUCUGCACCAAGAGCCUUUGUCUCGUGGCUUCCAUGACACUUCUGUGAGGUUUGUUUUGGGCCAUCUCUUUACGCAUGCUGCUAAAUUCUUCUCAAUCAAGAUCGAAUGACUGGGGAUUAUUAAGAAAGAGAGAGCCAUGGCUGAAAUUAAAGAAAAAUCAGAUGAUGAAGACCAGAUUUUGUCUUUACAUGUCCCAGAUUGAACUAUACAUUUUUGAUUAUCUGACCUCUAACCCAUGGAGCUUACCCAAUGUGCCACCUGUACUACUAGCUGGUAAGUCUGUCCUAGGUAACCCUCUGAAGGCUCAUUGCAUAGAAAGCCAUCUAUCCUGAGAAUCUGAAAUAGU
RNAcentral lists this long non-coding RNA (478 nucleotides) under Vulpes vulpes (red fox). Its description in RNAcentral is "lncRNA (ENSVVUG00000005908.1)". Lineage: Eukaryota; Metazoa; Chordata; Mammalia; Carnivora; Canidae. The record is from RNAcentral.